RNAcentral lists this transfer RNA (83 nucleotides) under Ignavibacteria bacterium. RNAcentral's name for it is "tRNA-Tyr". It matches the Rfam family "tRNA". From Rfam's summary of the family: Transfer RNA (tRNA) molecules are approximately 80 nucleotides in length. Their secondary structure includes four short double-helical elements and three loops (D, anti-codon, and T loops). Lineage: Bacteria; Pseudomonadati; Ignavibacteriota; Ignavibacteria. The record is from RNAcentral.
GGUGGGGUACCGAAGUGGCCAACCGGGACAGACUGUAAAUCUGUUGUCAUAUGACUUCGUAGGUUCGAAUCCUACCCCCACCA